RNAcentral lists this transfer RNA (73 nucleotides) under Marmota monax (woodchuck). RNAcentral's name for it is "tRNA.Ala". The record is from RNAcentral. Lineage: Eukaryota; Metazoa; Chordata; Mammalia; Rodentia; Sciuridae.
UGGGGUUGUGGCUCAGUGGUAGAAUGCUCACCUAGCAUGUGUGAGGCGCUGGGUUUGAUCCUCAGCACCACAA